This 23450-nucleotide long non-coding RNA is filed under the name Panax ginseng (ginseng). RNAcentral describes it as "long non-coding RNA (PGIN_LNC009221)". The record is from RNAcentral. Lineage: Eukaryota; Viridiplantae; Streptophyta; Magnoliopsida; Apiales; Araliaceae.
AGCAGAUCGGAACAGACGCAAGAGAGGACAGUCUGUACAGAGCAACUCCAAGUCUCAACUUCUUAGUCUCCAUAUUCGUAAUCGCAACAGAAGAACUCCAAAUUCAGGUAUAUUUUAAUUUUAAUUUUAGUUUUUUAAUUUCAUAAAUUUAACAAUUGCUUUAGAAAAUUUGUAAUUGUUUAUAGAUUCGUUUUUUAUACUUUUAUAAAAUUAGGGCUUUUUACUUCUUAAAGCAACACUCCAACAAUGAAGAAACUCCAUCAAAUAAAAGUUUUUCAAGUUCAAGUAUGUGUUCUAUUCUAUUUUUACUUUCUUUAAAUUUUUGUAAUUUAUUUUGUAAUGUUAUUUGUUUGUGGUUUAAUUGAGAAAACAUAACAUAAUAAAUUAAAAUGGGAAGCAUAAUGUUUAAUGUUGAUAUUGUUUUGAUUUUUAUAUUUUUUUUGUUUUCAUUUGUUUAUACAUUAGUUAUUAAUAAUAGACAACGGUGGAUAUUUUUCUAAUUUUUGAGAAAAACUCAAUCCCAAUGAAACUUAUAGAAUUGUACAUUAGUAACUUACAAUGAGCGUGAUAUUUUUAUAAUUAUUAAAAAUGUGGCUAUCAUGCAACAAUUUCAAGCAAUGAAACCUCAACAAAAUGUUAUUAUAAAUAAUAUUUGAGAAUUAUUUAAUUUUGUGAUUUACUUUAUUAAUAUUUUAUUUUUAAAUUUUUUUUUUUCCGAAUUUGACCCACUAAACUCCGAAGCUGGAUGCACCUCUAUUAGCAUGUAGGGAAUAUGAUCUUCCGAUGGGUUUGUGCCAACAUUUCAUGCAAUUAAUACACUAGAUGAGUCAUUGUAGUAACUCAUCACUCUAUUAGCCCUCCUACAUCACAUGGCUAAAUAGGUAGAAACAUCUUGCACCACUCAUUUAUGCCAACAAAUCAAAAAAAAAAAAAAUCUAAGCUAAGAUUCCUAGCAAAUUUGGUGUAAUCAAAUCUUGGAGUAAAUCUUUAUAGCAUUAAUUAUAUAGAUAUGGGUUAUCUUUUCCCCUUGUCCGAAUCCUCCCAUUCCUUUCUCUUGAUUUUACACACAUGCUUAUUUAGGUGAAUUAAUUACAUAUCACAUAAUAUUUUAAUUAUAGUCUCAUAAGAGUUCAGAAUAUUAUAUCUCUCAGCUAUCAAGAAAAGAACUCAACAACAACAAAGCUUUCAUCUCAUCGUUAAUGACCACUUUCAUCGUAUUAAACUGAUUUAUCAAACUCUCAAAAUCACUAAAAUAUUCUGCAACGGAAUUUCAAUCUUUGAACUUACACAAGUUUACUAAUCAAGAAAGCUUUAUUCUAUGUCGUCUUCCUUUCAUACAUGGACUCCAAUUUAUGUUAGAGAGCAUAGACUUUAGUUUCUGUGGCACAAUGAUGAAACAUACACUAUGAUCCACCACUGAUCAGACCAAUAGUCAUCAUGUUCAUUUUGUUCCACUGCGCGUCACUCUUGUUUGUGGACUUGACUCAAUCGUUCUCAAAAGGCUCAUACAAAUCCUUGCAGUAAAGAAAAUCCUUCAUUCUCUUGGCUUCCAAAUUGCAAAAUUUGUAGCCUUGAGUUUAAUCAUGCAACCUGUUGUCUGAUCCUUUAUAUAAUCCGCACAAAAAAAACCCAUAAAAAUAACCAAGCUCACUUGUACUGGAAUUAAACGAUCCAUUCUACCAAAAAGUAUCAGUACGAAUGCAACACACACAUGUGUAAACUGGCCUAACAAGUAUGUUGGUUCACCUCCUUACCUAAAAUGUUAAACUAUUAGGUUGAGACUCCACCUUACUUAUUAACCCAUCUACGUACACUUUUAAAUUUAUCCGGUGUUAGAUUCAUGUAAAAUAUCUCAACCACCUCCACCUUUUGAUUAGUACUUCUCACAAGUAUCAUACUAGAGUAUGUCACCAUUGAGCACACCUUCUUUGAAUACUUGAAGAGCCUUACUCGACUCUAAUACUACUCCACCACACCAGACGCAAACGUGGGAGUACAACCUUACUCCUUGUAAACCUUUCACCAUGAAAAUCUUUCCAAAGCUAUCAUGAGCCCUCUGCAUUUGACUCAAAUCUACUUCAACGCCUAGUGGCAAACGCGUGAGUGAUCCUGUUAGGCUCCACUCGACUCAACUUUAUUUGCUCUACCACGUGAACUAGGUAACACGCGGGGCCUGCGAAUAUGCUCCACCCUGGAGUACCAACCUAAUAUUUGGGUCCAUCAAAUCAUGGGCUCUGAUAACAAUUGUAGUAGAAUUAAAUGAUCCAUCCCACAUCAAUUCCAUAGCUAAUACAACACAUGUAACGCCCCCAAAUCCGGAUCCCUUGAACCUUGGGUCUGGUGCAUCACGGUAUUACACAUCCAUGAGUUAUAACUGUGACGCCCCCAAAAUAGGUAUACAACACCCAUUCUGAGUCGCCAAAUACAUGGUACAGAAACAACUACAACGUUAUUAAUAUAAUUGUCUUGCAAAAUACGACAACACAUAAACUGUGAGUUAAAAUACAAAUAUUAUCAUCUAGACAAUAUCAACACCCAAAUAAGUCCUCAUCACAAUUAUUGAUACAUUAUUUUACAAAAUAGUGAGGACUACUAUAACAACUGCCUUGGAACAUCACUCCACAACCCGACUACUACCCGCUAUAUUCUCGCUUCCUGAGAAGAAAAAUAGAACAAAAAGGAAAAGGGUGAGCUCAACUAGCCUAGUAAAGAAUAUUAUGACUAAGAUAAUAUAGAACAAAAUAUCGUUAGUCCUCAAUAGGGAAAAAAAUUUGAUAGAAUACAAUAGACAACAAGUUUUAAAUCAAUAUUCGCACCGAAAAUAACAAUUCAUUAGAAGAGUUACGUAGAGAAUGAAAUCUAUUUUCUUCUAUGAAUUUAAAAGUUUAUCAUCAAUAUUUUAUCCCUGUAACAUCAGUCAAUAUACAUCUUGAACCAAAUAUUCAUCUUUGCACUACAGGCCAAAGAUAUUCAUCAGUUGAUCAUGUUUAUCUCAACAUCUGUUCAUCUUUGCAUUACGGGCCAAAAAUAUUCAUUAGAAAAUCAUUCAUCUUUGCACUACAGGCCAAAGAUAUUCAAUAAUAUCAUCAUUUAGGACUGAGAAUGAUGAAAAAUAUUUUAAAGAAAAUGAAUCCAGUGAAACAAAAGAAUAAAUAUUAAGGAUUCGUAUUUCGAUUUAUCCAUGUCCAAAAAUACCUCAUAAAUGAUCAUAGUGGAGUAAAUUUCAAGAAUGAUCAAAACUUGGAUACAAUCAAAGCUAGUAUCCAUAAUAGAUAUUUUGGACGAAAAAGAAAAAUUUAAUUUUUCUGUGAAUAGUGUCGUAUUCGUGAAUAGUGUCAUAUACGUGAAUAGUAACCCCGACAAUAUAUUUUUUUCUUAUCACAAGAAAAAUCUUACCAAUAUUUCAGCAUAAUGAUAUUGAAAGAAAUAAUAUCAUUUAUAAAAAAAAUAACAUCCUUUACCUUGAAAGAAUAGUACUUCUGGCUAGAAUAUCAGAUAUAACGCUGAAAGAACUUGCACCGUAUAACAACACUCAAGUAUCAAAAUACUCACAAGAAUACGCUCGAAAAUAUAGAGAGAGAAAUUUUUAGUUUCUGGUGUGAUUUUCAAUUCUAACUUAAGCACCCUAUUUAUAGGAAAUUGCUUAGAACACCAAAGCAGAAAAUUUAAUAAAAUAAUAAUAUAUUUUUUUCUUAACUUCCUACGCACACUUAUUUUGUCCAAACACCAGCCACACCUCACCAACAACCACCAAAAACGUUUUUCCAUUAUAAACUCAUUUAAAACACCAAAAAAACAAAAAAAAUAAUUAAUCCGGAACUUUAAUAAUUCACAAUAAAUAGCCCCUUUAUCAGAAAAAUUCAAAUCUUAUGUCCAUUCCAUAGGAAAUUCAAUUCUCUACAACUUUUUAGUUUUAAGUUUUUUCAAAUUCCAAACAGAAAUUGACCGAAAUCUACAUACGAACGAUUUUAUAGGCUAUAAUCAAAUUUCAGUCAAGAAAUGGGGUCCACAAACAUGAAAAAUAUGUUUUAAAUAUUUUUAGUAACAAAAAUACUCUUCCUCCUCAUAUAUUCAUAUAUCCCACAUUCAUUGUAAAAAAUAUCACCAUUAUUAUAUUAUAAUAAUAUAAUAAUAUAUUUAAAUAAAUUAUUUUAUCAGAAAAAGAUAAAAUAUUAAUUUUCAAGAAUUGUCACAUUAAAAAUUUUCUCCAUCUAUAUCCACAUAAAAUGAAUAUUUUUCUUAUCAUAUAAAUCAAUAAUUAAUUAUUCAUAAAUAAUAUUACAGAAUCACAAUAUCGACAACCAGACCAUUCCCAGGAAAGAGGGGGCUUUCCAAUAAGGAUUUCUCCUUACUGGCGCGCAAUUAGGUGACCAAACCUCUCCUUAGACAGAACUUUCUAGACAUUGCCAAUAAUGUUAUCUAAUAAUAUUAUUCAGAUAAUAUGAAUUAUUGCUUCGAUAAUGGAAAAUACUGUGUAGUGACAAUUAUUGAAACAACAGUAAUAUAAAAUAUCAACGCAGCAAUUAUUGAAUCAAUAAAAUAAAAUACUGAACAGUAAUUACUGUAACAAUUAUUGAGUAGUGCCUUCUUACGUAAGAAUCAAUAAUUGGUGCAAUACCGUGUGCUACUGUGCAACAACGCGUAUUACUGUGUUUUAACCACCGGGUAUUCCAACAGUAUUAACGGUAACAACUACGCCGUUAUUUUUAAACAACUUAUAUUUGUCGUUUUCUUCAUCCAAUCGCUUUCCGUUAUGGGGCCCACACAUGGCUGCGCCGUCGUACGAAUAUUCCCCGACAGUAAGAAUAUUCCACGACCAAACGAAUAUUCCCCGACAACAAUGAAUAUUUUAUAACCACUUACUUAUUUGAAAUAUUUGCGCAUUUUACCCAUAACUAACCACAUUAAUCAAAUCAACCCUUACUAUUUCAAAAUAAUAAAUAGAGGAAAUUCAAUUUCAUUUAUAAUAAGUUGGGGUCUUACAAUAACUAACUAUAUUUAACUUAAUGACAAUAAGUAAAUAUAUUUAUUACCAUAUAUCCUUACAUUUUCUCAAGUAAUUAACCUUUGAAUAAAUAUCAACAUUAUGUUUGAUUAAAACUUACAACUUUACUCUAUUCUAGAAUCUCAAUCUUUAUACAUUUCAAUACAACUCACUGUCAUAUACAUUAUAAUCCAUUUGAUUAUAUUAAUAGUCUGUACCAACCUGUAACUCAUAUAUAUACAUAAAUGUUCAGCACAUUAUCGUGGUACCUAUUUGCUUUAAAUAUUAUUCUAACAUUUCACUUCAGCCUAUACCCUUUUAGUAACACUGUGUACCCCCAAAAAGGUUUUAUUAGGAUAUUUGCUAAUCUUGUGAUAUUCAACAAUCAUUCUCUGUUCAUUGGUCUUUACCGAAACUCAGAUGCCUCGUACAUAACUGAAAACAUUUAUUUAUGGCUCAACAAGUUUAACAGUAAUAACUUAACAAAAAGUUUAUAUUUUCCAUACGUUCUAUGCAUAAUAUUCAUGUCUCGCAGUUAUAUGCACUGGAUAUUUAGAUCAUGCAUUAUAAAAUGUGUAUGCAAUACAUGUUCCACAUACCAUACAAUGAUUCACCUUAUUAUGCUUUUCAUUUCAUAGUAUAGGGUUCAAAAAGAACAGUUCAACUAAAUAUAACAGCUAACAACAACAACUUAUAACAUAUGAUAACAUAAAAGCACAAUAGCACAUACAACAUUUCAAACAUAUGAGCAAGUUCUGAAAAACUUGCCUGAAGCGACGUUUUACCAUUACACCAACUUCUGUGUUCAUUGCACAACCUACACUGUAUGUGGAAUUGAUAACAAAAUACAUUAUUAGUCAAAGCUUGACUAUUAGUUUAAUCUUACUUUAAAAUCUUAUCUUAACUUAUUAUUUCUUGUAUUGUCUUUAUAGACAUCCGACCGUGUUAUUUACAUAACUGAACUCUAUAUCCCACUUCAUCACCACAUGUGCUAAUUUGUUGUACUUGUAGUUUAAUGUGUGUAUAUCACACCAUAUGACUUACCAUACUUGAUUAAAUACCUACAAUCUAGGUAACAAGUUGGAUUAGGUCCAAAGCUUUUUAUCCAAUCACUUAUUAUACAUAUAGUCAUUCACAUGGUUAUGACUUCAAGUUAUUUAAUUAUAACCAUAACAUUUAUUUAAUUUCUUUUUCAAGUAUAUACUAUAUUAGUGUCAAUACUCCAAUACAUUACAUUAUGUAUAAACAUACAUAACACAUAUCAUAGUUAGUUGUUCUUAACAUAACUAUGUUCCUAAAAAUCUUAAUUCUCAUACGUUGAUGUCUUAGAACAUUUCUCGAUUUAAUUUUAUUAAACAAAUUUUUAAACUUCUACUUUACCCCAAUAUUUGGUUCCCUCCUAAUUUUGAUGCAUCAUUACCUUGUUGGUCAAUUACUACACCAUUAAAAUUACAUAACACAGUUACAACAUGAACGCAUACACCAUAAAUCUCAAAAACUGAAAAUCUUCACCCUUGAAAAUUUUAGUUUCUCUAACUUCUUGAAUUUCAAGGCUAUUUCGGGGAUUUUUAUUAUUUUAUAUAUUGCUUCAUUUGAUUCCAAGUUUACACAGAGAUUUAGACCAUAUGACAUAGUAUUUAAUCCAUCCUUUAGUUGACUAGGAACAUCUCAUUAAAGCUUCCAAAACAGAGGCUCAAAACCCAUGUUCAGAGCUGUCACACUACUAUUGUUCUGCAGUUUUUUAGUAUUUUCUAGAUUACUUUGCAAAUUUUUACGAAUUUUUGAGUGAACCCAAUUGCUUCCAAUUUUGAACAAACUUUGAAAUCACAUGACAUAGUAUUUUAUUCAACACUUAGCUGGCUGAAAACCUUACAUUAAGGUUCUCAAAACAGUUGCUCAAAAAACUCGCUCUGAGAAGUCACACUGUUGGGUCUAUAAUUUAAGCUACACAACGCUCCACUUAAAUUGUCACCUCGUUUAAUAAAUCAUAUAACCUUAUAAAAUAAUGUUAAAAAUUAUUCCAUAAUAAAAUAAUUAAGUCUAAUGCUUAAUUAAUUAAAACUUUUCACCUGGCCCUCAUGGCCAUUAUUUAAGUUUGGAGAGUUCUCAAUAAUACAAAUACUUGAAUAAUUAUCUCAUAAUUCAAAAUAUACUAUAUUCUAAUCCUAAUCCUAAAGUAACAAAAUGAUAAAAUUAUAAUUAUCUAGAAUUAACUAAUUAUAGUUAUAUUCUCUAAUACGCCCCCUCAAGCCAAACAGAGGUAAUAGGAGCUUGAGCUUGAACUUGGGAAAAUAGCCAUGCGUAUGUAAAACAUGUGAAAUAAUAACGCCUUGAAGAAUGGAGAACACGAACAAUUUCUAUGAGAGAUAAAAUAGAAACAUAGCAUGCAUGAUAAGUACUGCAAAUAACCAAUAAGACUGGAACGUGUUUGGUUGUUUGAACACUUGCAAUAAAAAGGGACUUUCUGUACUUCUUGUAUUAGACUACCAUGAACACACUUAGAAAAUUCCAUUAAUCCAUCAAGAUAUGAAAUGUGGGAUGUAUCAAGAGAAACAUUCCCUCAUCUGUUAAAUGAGGUGAAAAUGAUGGACAAACUAAAAAUGAAUCCUUGAAGAUGUUCGAGUGAAAAUGAGAAUAUAUAGUCAGCAGUUGCAGAGAAAAAUGAGGAUAAUAACUCAGACUUGAGACUAGAACAAUUUGCGUGAAUUGCUAAUAUAAGAUUAUCAGUCAACAAUGAAGAAGAACCAAUCAGACUUAUCGAAUCCUCAGGAUGUUCAACCACAGAAAAAUUAAUAUUAUAAUUAGGCUCAACAAUAAUAGGCUCAAUUUUAGAAGUGUCAAGAGAAGUGAAUUGUUGUAACAGUUUUUCAUGUCCAAAUAAAAGAGUGGCAAAUCAUUAAAUGAAGGGUGCAUCAAAUGAUAAUAAACAUGAACUUUGUUGUAAAUAGUAUCAUCAAGGCCUUCAACUAAAAAAUUUGUAUACUCUGACUCACUCAGAGAACCUCUCGCGCUUUCAAAUGCAUAAAGAAGCGUUGUCGCUUCGGCAAGAUAACUUUUGACAGACUGAGUAGGUAACUUUUGUAAACAAAAUAUUUGAUCGAAGAAAUCAUUUAUAUACCAUGAUGUCGCAUCAUCUAGGAAUUUGCAGUCAUCUAGGAAUUCGCAAUCAUCAUUUUCAUGGACCAAAGAGUCGUCAAAAUUUUGAAAUGGAUCGUAUAUUUGAUCUGUCAUGGAGGCGAGACCAAUUUUUGGAUUGGCUAAUAUGAUCGGAGACAGGGUUCCUGGAAUGAUUUUGGGUUAAGCCACCUUUCCAAAUCAUAGGAAGAAUGAAAAUAGAAGACAAGAAAGCCAUUGAUAGAAGAAGAAUUUUAAGAUCAAAAGAAAAUAAAGUGUCUAGAUCAGGGAAUAGAAAGAUGAUUUUUUUAGAAGAAAGAAGAGUGAUAGUAAAGUAGAGAGGAAUAACAAAAGAAGAAGAAGAAGAAAUCGGGGACAAUUGCUGGAAUGCAGACAUGUGAUCAGGGUGUCUGGAUUAUGGUAUAUAAUGUUUGGAUAGUGAGACAAUAGAGCUGACACAUGAUAGUAAGAGGACGGAAGAGAAUUAAGAUGAAGAAUGUUAAGCUAUUUGAAUGUGGAGACUAAGGAUCGAAAGUUGUUAAGCUAAUGAAAGCUUUGAUGCCAUAUAAACACAAGUAAAACGAUUAUUAUAAUAUUGUCUCCACAAAAUAAUAAUACAUAUUCUUAAUAUAUAUACAUGAGUUUGGAUAGUUCUCAAGUAAUACAAAUACUUGACUAAUUAUCUCAUAAUUCAAAAUCUAUUAUAUCCUAAUACUAAUGUAACAUUAUGAUAAAAUUAUAAUUAUCUAGAAUUAACUAAUUAUAGUUAUAUUCUCUAAUAUAUCUAUAAGAUCAAUCAUAUGGAAGCUAAAAAUGACAGUGUGUUAGUUCCCGGAGGCACAAAAGAGAUCUAGAAGGGGGGGGGGGGUUGAAUAGAUCCUUUAAAACUUUUUCUUUUUCUUUUCUUGAUAAGUGAUUAACAUAUAAUAGAAUCAAUUCAAGUACAGUAGAAUAGGUUAGGAUCCCCUUCAUGGAUGUAGCAUUAAACACAGUUCUAAUGUUAGAUUAGUUACAAGCAGAUAUAGCAGUUAUAGUGUUGAAUGUAAAUGAUAUAAAGUAAGUGACAACAGGGAUUUUAAGUGGUUCAGAGACAAAAUGCUCCUACUCCACUCUUCGGCUUCAACAAGUAAUGAUUCCACUAAGGAUUUGAUCAACUUCGAAUCACUAAGAUUCCUUCAAGACCAACAGCCUUAGAACUCUAGUUCACUAAGAACUCUUCAAGACUAGCUGUAACAAACGAGAUUUUUAUAUUUGAUUUUUAAGUAUUUGUUGAAUUAAAUAAAUAUUUUGUUGAUUUAUUUAUUGUGAUAAACAAAUAUUUGAUGGAAUGGUUAUGGAUUAAUCGAUUAAGUGUUAUACAUUAAUUAAAUUAAUGUGGAAUAAUUUUAUAGUUCAAACUGUGAAUUUAACUGGGAUAAUUAAAUUAAACGAGUUGUUAAAUAAUUAUAAUAUUGUUCUAAUUAAUUUAAUAAUUAAUUAGAGAUUUAAUGAUUUGUUAUAAUUAAUGAAUAAGAAUUUUAAUUAUGUGGUAAUUUGAUUUAAUGAGUAAUAUUGGCUUUAAAUUAAUUGAGUUUAAAUAAUAUUAUUUGAUUAAUUAAAGUGUGACGAAUAAACUAUAUAAUAAACAAGUUAAUUAAAAUAAAUGAAAAAGAGCCUUUUAAAGGCUAGCCAAACAUGGCCUUAUGAACAUUGGAGCAGUUAAAUGCGUAAUGGCCUUAACUGACACCCAUGUUGUGCCAGUCAUUAUAUAUUACGUAUAAUAAGUUUAUAUCGUUUUUGGUUAAGUCUGAGAAUACAAUUGUAAGACCCCAACUUUUAUGAAUAAAGAUUAAUUUUUCUCGAAAUAUAUUUUUGAAUAUUAUGGUGUGGAUUUGAUAUAAUGUUAUAGUUGUGGGUAAUAUUUACAAAUUUUGCAAAGUAAGCAAGUGGUUAUAUAAUAUUCGAUUGGUCGGGAAAUAUUCGUUUUAACAGGGAAUAUUCGUACGACGACACAAUCAUUGGUGGACCCCACAACGGAAGUAUUAUCGUAGUUAGAAAAUGACAGAAUUAUCCCUUUAUAAAAAUAACUGCGAAAAUUUUACUAUUAAACUAUUGAACUACCCGGUGAUAAAAGUACAAUAAUACACGUGGUUGCAUAGUAGCUGUGACACCCCCAAAUCCGGUACUUCCAUUUCCACAGGAUUUGGUGUUCACUGUACAAAUAUCAUCUAUCUAUCUACCCAUAAAUAAAUGCAAACCAUGCAAUAGAUAGAAAUAAUAAAUAAAUCUCCCCUUAUGGGGUUACAUCAACUGCAUAAUAAAAAUCCCAGGUUGCUCUAACCUUAAACAUUUGUGCAGAAUCAUAAACAAAUAAGUCUUAAGUAACAUCAAGUCUAAUUAUCAUUACAUAACCACAUAAAUAAUCAGUCUUCAUUACUUGCUAAGCUUGCCCUUGCCUUUACUAGUGGAAGGCUCGUCAGAUCGUUCGUUCUUAACUGCAAUAUUAUUAUUACGCAAGAGUGAGCACGAUUGCCCACAAGUAUAACAAUAUAACAAAUGAAUAAUAACAUGCGAGUGAAUUAAUAACUUCUAAUAUAAAAGCUCAACUUUUGAAUCAAGAAAGAAUAACAAGAAUCAAAAGAAAUUAUGAGGGUCAUAAGACCUUGAACUAUGUCCUAGGUUGUCAAGUGUUUAUACUUGAAACCUUUAACAAUCANNNNNNNNNNNNNNNNNNNNNNNNNNNNNNNNNNNNNNNNNNNNNNNNNNNNNNNNNNNNNNNNNNNNNNNNNNNNNNNNNNNNNNNNNNNNNNNNNNNNNNNNNNNNNNNNNNNNNNNNNNNNNNNNNNNNNNNNNNNNNNNNNNNNNNNNNNNNNNNNNNNNNNNNNNNNNNNNNNNNNNNNNNNNNNNNNNNNNNNNNNNNNNNNNNNNNNNNNNNNNNNNNNNNNNNNNNNNNNNNNNNNNNNNNNNNNNNNNNNNNNNNNNNNNNNNNNNNNNNNNNNNNNNNNNNNNNNNNNNNNNNNNNNNNNUUUAUUUUAUAAAUAUUUUAAUAAUAAUUUUCAUCGAAUAUUUAUUUUACUCCAUAAAUAUCUCAAUUAAAAUAUUUAUUUUAUUUUAUAAAUAUUUUAAUAAUAAUUUUCAUCGAAUAUUUAUUUUACUCCAUAAAUAUCUCAAUUAAAAUAUUCAUUUUAUUUUAUAAAUAUUUUAAUUAUUAUUAUUAUUAUUAUUAUUAUUAUUAUUAUUAUUAUUAUUAUUAUUAUUAUUUUUAUUUCCGCCGGGGCGGGGUAAUUUAAUUUGGUAACACCCGCCGGGGGAGGAGAUACCCAGACUCAGUUUCUGCAGUUCACACGUAGCAAGGUUGGGCCAACAAAAAUCUCUCAAGUUCACCCAUAUGUUCUCGUGAAGAACACAGAGAACAUGGCCACAACUUCCAAUUUCCUUAUCCAUAUAUUAAUUUAACCAUACCCAAAUACUAUAAUUCAUAUAUGAUCAUUACCCAAUCUUUAUAGAGUGAUUUUAACCAAUUAAAACACAUAAUUACAGAAUUAAGACAUGCAAUUUCACUGUUCUUGAUGUUCUUGAAAAUAUUGAACAUAAAACAUGAAAAUUAACACUAAGAAUUCGUUAUAAUACCAAAUCCAUCCAUUCAAGUUUUGUUUACUUCGUUUUAACAUGCAUAAUUAUAUACAAGUGUAAAAUUUAGGGAUAAUAUAUGAUCAACGCAUUAAAUUUGUGAGUAAGGGCCAUAUGGCCAUAUUUCUCUACUCUGUAAUUUUUGAGGCCAUAACAUACAUUGUAGUUAUAAUAUUAUGAAACUUAUGAUAUGGAACCAUAUACAAUAUAUAUAAAACAUGUUAUGCUACUCGUAUUAUUACAUAUAUCCAUAUAACAACACAAUUUCUCAUUUAUAGAGACUUUACAGAAUGAAUGAAAGCCAUUUUUUUUUACAAAACUAAAUGACGUAAAAUAGGAAUUAGGUUGAAGAGAUUACCCAAAGCGUAGAAUGUAAAUUCGCAGGAGAUGAAUUCCUUCUCAACUCUUCUUCAAUCACAAUUCACUUAACAAUUCUCUGAAUUCUCUCUGACUCUCAAUUUACUCUAAAAUGAAGAAUACGUAGAAUAAUGCCAACUGAGCCUUUAUGCGCAGAGUUGAGGUCAGUUACUCCAUACGUGGUUUAACUGCCCCCAACUCCUCUUAAGGCCUCAUUUGGCUAGUCUUAAAGGCUUAUAUCAAUUUAAUUUAAUAAAACCUUUAUAAUAUAGUUUGAAAAAUGUCACACCCUUUAUAAAAUAAAUCAAAUAUCUAGUUUAAUUUAUUUUAAAUAAAAUAAAAUAAUUUCUCAUUAAUUCACAUAGUCAAAUAAUUAAAUUCUCAUUUAUUAAUAAUGUCAAAUUAUUAAUCUCUAAUUAAUUAUUAAAUUAAUUAAAAUAACAUUAGGCUUAUUAAAUAUUCCCUUUUAAUUUAAUAAGCUCACAUAAAUACAUGCUUCGAAUAAUAAAAAUUCUUCACAUUAAUUUAAUAAAUAUAACACAUAUAAUUAAAUUAAUCUACCACAAUUUCAUCAAUUAAUUAUUUAAUCUAAUAAUUAAUUCAUCGAAAAAUAUUUAUUUAAUUCAAUAAAUAUUAAAAAAUUAAAUUACAAAAUCUCGGUUGUCACAUCUUUCCCCUCUUAAAAGGAUUCUGUCCUCAGAAUCACAACUCAAACAAUUCGUCCCGUUACAUUCUCCCCCCCUUACAAAGAUUCUGUCCCCAGAAUCGAUUAUACUAAUCUAAGUAAAUAAAUGAGGAUAAUUAUUUAUCAUAUUCUCUUCGAGUUUCCACGUUGCUUCUUCAGCAUUGUGGUUCCUCCAAAUUACCUUAACAGAAGGUAUUACUUUAUUUCUUAGAACUUGCUCUUUUCGGUCGACAAUCAGAACAGGAAUUUCUUCGUAAGAUAAGUCUUUGUCGAAAUGUAGGGGUUCAUAUUCAAUCAUGUGCUUAUAAUCGGGUUUGUAUGGUCGUAGGACUGAGACAUAAAAAUGUUGUGGACAUUCUCUAGAGCUGGAGGUAAGGCUACCUCAUAAACAACUUCUCCGACCCUCCUCAGAACUUCAAAGGGUCCAAUGAAUCUUGGGCUUAAUUUCCCUUUCUUUUCGAACCUGAUCUUUCCCUUCCAGGGAGAGACCUUUAAGAAUACAUAACUACCUGGCUCAAACUCAAUAUUUUUACGAUGUGGAUCGGCGUAUUUCUUUUGUCUAUCUUGAGCUGCUGUCAAUCUUGUUCGGAUCACUUUGACUAUUUUUGUUGUUUGUUGUACCAAUUUCGGGCCUAGUAAUUGUCUUUCGCUAACUUCAUCUCAGUAUAGCAGAGUUCUGCACUUUCUGCCGUAUAACGCUUCAUAGGGUGGCAUGCCAAUACUAGCGUGGUAACUGUUGUUGUAACCGAACUCUACGAGCGGUAGAUGGUCAUCCCAAUUUCCUUUAAAGUCCAUUAUACAAGCUUUUAACAUGUCUUCUAAUGUCUGAAUUGUUCUUUCACUCUGUCCAUCUGUCUGUGGGUGGUAUGCCGUGCUCAUUCGUAACUGUGUACCCAUGCAUUCUUGUAGACAUUUUCAGAAGUUCGACGUAAAGCGCGGAUCUCUAUCAGAAACAAUUGACACCGGAACUCCGUGCCUUGAAACAAUCUCUUUCACAUAUAACCUUGCCAACUGACCUAAGUUAAAUCUGAUUUUGAUCGGAAGGAAGUGUGCGGAUUUCGUCAAUCGGUCAACAAUAACCCAUACUGCGUCGUAGCCUUUCUGAGUUGUCGGUAGGCCAACCACAAAAUCCAUCGUAAUAUGUUCCCAUUUCCAUUCUGGAAUCUCUAAAGGUUGUAGUAACCCACUCGGCCUCUAAUGUUCUGCUUUAACUUUCUGACAUGUCAGGCACUUGGCAACACAUUCUGUUAUGAGCCUCGCUCAAAAUUUCUUCCUUAAUCUCUGGUACUGGCGGUACCCAAAUUCUAUUAUCAAAUCUUAGUAUUCCUUCCUUAUCCAUCUUGAAUCUUAAUUUAGUUCCUUCGGAUAUCUUCUUUUUCACCAUUUUACAUUCGUCAUCCUGAAGUUGAGCCUCCUUAACCAUGUCUAGUAGAGUUGUACCAGAUUGCAUCUAAAACAGCUUCUCAUCAAUCUCCAUAGGACACUUCACUUCCAAUUCCAGCUUUUCCAUUGUUGAAAUUAACUCCUCCUGAUAGGUCAAGAUCAUCAGUUUCUCCCGACCCUUUCUACUUAAGGCGUCGGCAACCACAUUUGCCUUACCCGGAUAGUAUAGAAUCUCACAAUCGUAGUCCUUAAUUAACCUCAACCACCUUCUUUGGCGCAUGUUCAAGUCUUUCUGUGUAAAAAUAUAUUUCAGACUCUUGUGGUCUGUAUAUAUUUCACACUUCUCCCCAUAGAGAUAGUGCCUCCAGAUUUUCAAAGCAAAAACCACUGCAGCUAACUCCAAGUCAUGGGUCGGAUACCCCUUCUCAUAAUCUUUCAGUUGUCGUGACGUAUACGCAAGGACUCUGCCGUUUUGCAUAAGCACAUAACCAAGUCCUUUAUGCGAUGUAUCGCUAUAAACUAUAAAAUUUCCUGUGUCAUCUGGAAGAGAUAACACAGGUGCUGUACUCAACCUCUUCUUUAAUUCUUGAAAGCUUUCCUCACACUUCUCCAUUCAAACAAAUUUCACCGAUCUUCUAGUCAAAUUUGUUAGCGGAGUUGCGAUCUUGGAAAAAUCCUGAAUGAAUCUUUUGUAAUAACCUACCAAUCCGAGAAAACUUCUUACUUCCGACAGUGUCUUCGGCUGAUCCCAGUUAAUCACAGCUUCGACUUUGGAGGGGUCCACCGAAAUUCCGUCCCUAUCGAUCGCAUGUCCAAGAAAUUAUACCCUUUCAAUCCAGAAUUCACAUUUCAAAAAUUUGGCAUACAACUUCUCCCUUCUUAAUGUCUCUAAUGUCACCCUCAAAUGCUCUUCAUGUUCUUCCUUGGUUUUCGAAUAUACCAAAAUGUCAUCUAUAAAUCCCACUACGAAUUUGUCCAAAAACGGCUUGAACACUCCAUUCAUUAAGCCCAUAAAUGCUGCAGGAGCAUUCGUUAGACCAAAUAACAUUACCAAAAAUUCAUAGUGACCGUAUCGUGUUCUGAACGCUGUCUUCGGUACAUCCUCUGGUCUCACCUUCAGUUGAUGAUAACCACUUCUCAAGUCUAUGUUUGAAAAGUAUCUUGCUCCCUUUAACUGAUCGAACAGAUCGUCAAUUUACGGUAAUGGAUAUCUAUUCUUGAUCGUGACCUUAUUCAGUUCUCUAUAGUCGAUGCAGAGCCGCAUCGUCCCAUCCUUCUUCACAAAUAAAACCGGCGCUCCCCACGGUGAUACGCUUGGUUGAAUAUACUUCUUGUCCAGUAAUUCUUGUAGUUGAACCAUCAGUUCUUUCAUCUCUACCGGUGCCAUUCGGUACGGUGCCUUCGAUAUUGGGGCCGUUCCUGGAGCCAAAUCGAUCACAAAUUCAACUGCUCUAUCUGGAGGAAGUCCUGGCAAAUCAUCCGGAAAUACAUUUGCAAAAUCUCUCACUACCGGUAUCUCCUCUAUUUUUGGAUUCUCUUUACGACUAUCGACUAUGUAAGCUAGAUAUCCUACACAGCCUUGCCUUAACAACCUCCUGGCCUGAAUCAUCGUCAGACAACUCGCUUGUCUAGGCGACUUGCUACUAUAAAACAUAACCUUUGACGGAGUCAUAAGGUUAAUACGCUUCUUCUGGCAGUCAAUUACCACCCCAUAAUUGGAUAACCAGUCCAUACCCAAAAUAACGUCGAAUUCUCCUAGUCGAAUAGGGAUAAGAUCUACGUUCAUGAUAUUACCCUUAAUAUCCACUCUACAGUUCUUAUGCACAAACUUAACAGGGAUGAUUUCUCUAUUCGCAAUUUCUAUAUUCAUGGGGUAUUCUAACUCGUCCUUAAGCAAUUCUAAGUUCUUAGCAAAGUCAUCGGAUAUAAAUGAACAAGUAGCACCCGAAUCAAAUAAUACAUAAGCAUUAAUUUUAUUGAUCGGAAUGAUACCUGACACCACAUCGCGAGACUGCACUGCAUCCUGCACUGUCAUGUUGAAUGUUCUGGCGGUCGGUCGGUUGCAGUUGGUCCCGUGAUAGUUAAAGCACUUCCACCACUGUUUCCUUUGUUCCCUCCUGAUCCUGUCCCUCCAGAUCCCUUCUUGGGACAGUCCCUUGCCGGAUGAUCCUUUGAACUACAAGUGAAGCAGGCACCCUUCUUUGGGUUUGGAUAGUUUGGUGCUAUGUGGCCUUCCUGACCGCAAUUGUAGCACACUCGCUUCCCUUUCAUGCAAACUCUCAAAUGAGUUUUUCCACAGGUUGGGCACGCUUCGAUCUUCUUCUUCUGCCCUCCUUGUUGACUUCCAGCUAACGAGUUAUCCAUCCACUUCCUCUUCUGAUUAUGGCUACCCCCAGUGCUACCCCCACCAGUCUUGUUAUUACCUUCAUUCUCACUCUUUUUCUUCUUCUGAUCCUGAUUAUAUUUCGUUACUACAUCGCUUCCACCCUCAGCGAGUAUGGCCUUCUCUAACACUCCAGCAAAAGUGUUCAAUUGAAACAUUGACACCUUGCUAUACAACCAGGGCUUCAGUCCCUACUCGAAACGUCUUGCCUUCCUCUCAUCGGUAUGCACUUGGUAUGUGGCGAAUCUAGCACUACAAGAAAUCACACAAAAAAUGACGCUAAAAUUUGUCACAUAAAAUUCAUUUUUCGUCUCUAAAAUAUUUGGUGACGAUUGUUAAUCGUCACAGAGACCGUCACUGUAUGAGCGUGGUAUUAGGUAUAUUGGACAAUAUUUGAUGUCGUUACUAAAUGUUUUAACUUAUGGUGACGAUCUACAUCAUUGUCACUAUAAUUAAUUACUUUUAGUGACAUUAAUAGCGUCACUAUUUGAAUAAAACUUUCGUCACUCUAUAUUAUGUUUCGUCAUCAAAACUUGGUGCAUUAAAUGACAAAAAUUAUUUUUCGUCAUUAAAUGAUAUUGUUUUAGUGACGAAAAUAUGACGAUAAUAUUGUCAUAUUUAUGAUUAUUUUUUCGUCAUAUUAUUGUGUUUAUCGUCACCAAAAAUAAGAAAAUAAAUGACAAAACAAUUCGUCACCUAAUACUAUAUUUAACAUGACAAUUAUGUCGUUGUCAUUUCAUAUUUUAAAUAGUAUUACAAAAUAAUUUGUCACCAAAGAGUUAUUUUUUGGGACACAUUUUUUAAUGUCACUAAUUGAAUACUUAUGGUGACGAUAAAUCUCAUCACAGAAAGAGUUAAUAAUAGUGACAAAAUUAGUUAUUGUGACAAAAUGAAAAACUAAAUAUAAAAUUAUAAAUCUAGAAAUAAGAAAAAAGAUUACACUAAGAUGAUGACCAAUAAAUUCCAACCCUUUAAAUAAAAUCAUCGUGUUAUACAACAACACUAGUAGAUCUGAGCAACAAACUCGGCCUUACCAACAAAAGAACGCAGUUAAUUAAUACUCAAAUACAUGAACAUGUGCAUGAACUAUUUUCACAAUAAAGUGCAAAGUAAUGAGCCAAUGACCACUAUGUGCAUGAAAUAUUUUCACGUGAACUCCAGACGCACCAAAGUUUCUGAUUUCAUCCUUCAGCGCCUCUAUUUUUUGCUUUACAUCAGGCCGUCCCAAGAUCUCUUCAUAUUUUUUUUGGAUUUCUAGUUGAAAGGUCUCCUUGUUCGUUGCACAUACAUUCUUAGCUUUAGAUGAAGUAUACUAUUCUUGUAAAAGAACCAAGGUGAAUGUCCUCACAUCCAUUGAAUCAAUAAUUGCAGCCUUUAUCUGUUGUGAGGUCCAAUAGGGAUCUGCAUGUGUACCACCAAGUGACUCUUGCAGUUGGUUUAAAAAUCCCAUUCAAAUAGCAUAACAAGUAAAAUAUGGUAAAGCUAAACAAAACCUAGAAAACAAGAGGGGUCUGACAUUUUUAAACUACACAAAUUCAAUUUCAUGACAAAAAAAAGUAGAGAAGCAGCGUGAGAGAACAUUAUUGAAUCAAUGUAACUGACUUAUAGAACAUUAUUGAAUCAAUGUAACUGACUUAUUUACUUUCCUCCUAGCAUGUGUUCCAAUCAUACCUGUUUGACGCAAAACAUUAACUACCUAAAGGAGGAAAAUCAUUGCCCUCUGUGUAAGGUACCUACCUCUUCCAUAGUUUAUAAGAUUAAAAGACUUAUAUACCUGUUUUAUGCCUUUCAUGGCAAAACAACAAACAAAACAAUUCUACCACCUGAUGAGUUUAGGAUCUGCAGGUCCUAAAGAUGGUCCAAUAACAACCACUUUAAUCCUUAUAUUCCGCCAUCGUCUUCUGAAAAAAAUUGUAACACCAUCCAUAACUGCAACCAAGUUUAGUAAAAUAUAUAGAUAUUAACACAAAGUAACAAGAUCAGAAAAUACAACAUACUCGCCAUGCAAAACCAUGGUAUCAUCCAUAAGCACCUUCCUUUUAUUAGCCCGAGGAGCAGACCUAUGACGUUUCAGAAACAUGUCAGGCUGCGGAGUAUCCUUUACUUUCAAAACUGAAGACUUUCUUCCAACUGCAGCAACAGUAAGUUAUAUUAGAAACAUCUAAAGAGAAAGGAAACCUUGUAACAAGUAAAUAAUUUAGAUGUUAUAACUUCUAGAAAAUAACAAAGGUAAUUACUCUCUCAAUUCUGAACAAUUAUGUUUCAUGUCCACAAAACAUCACCAGUAAACAUUACUAGUAAAUUAGGAUUCCUAUAUAUUUUACUGCAAUAAAAUCCCAAAAGACUAGGGCCUAGACUCAUCAAAUCAACUAGAGUUAUAACCACCACCCUCCUUUUGAGAAAGGCUGUACGAACCAUAUCAAUUAGCUCCUCAUCCAGGGCUUCAAGAUCCCCAAAAAUGCAUAGGCGGUGAUAUAAAGGAGCCACAUAAUCUGCAGCAACCUCGAUCAAUUUCCACUGAGAUUAACUAGUAGCUAGUUUUAGGAUUUUAAUAGACAAGUAUGAAGUAGAAUCCAAGCAUGAUAUUAUUACUCUCGAGCACUCUUCAUGAAGAUCAUCUACAACCCAGAAUUCAGCAAGCCAAUAAAGCUCUAAAUAAGUUACCAGUUCAUUUAGCUUUUCGUUAGCAUCCAAAUUAUCCCAAAAACAGCCGGAUACAGGAAGAGGCAGAACAUUUGAAUAGAACCAAUCAACUAGUUUCAUCAGUGCUUUCCAACUACUGGAGACUUUAAUGGUUUGUGAAUGGCUGCAGCAUAAAUACUUGAAAGUGAGCUAAAAAGCUUUGCUUUCGAGACAGGGAAAUAUAAAAUUUGNNNNNNNNNNNNNNNNNNNNNNNNNNNNNNNNNNNNNNNNNNNNNNNNNNNNNNNNNNNNNNNNNNNNNNNNNNNNNNNNNNNNNNNNNNNNNNNNNNNNNNNNNNNNNNNNNNNNNNNNNNNNNNNNNNNNNNNNNNNNNNNNNNNNNNNNNNNNNNNNNNNNNNNNNNNNNNNNNNNNNNNNNNNNNNNNNNNNNNNNNNNNNNNNNNNNNNNNNNNNNNNNNNNNNNNNNNNNNNNNNNNNNNNNNNNNNNNNNNNNNNNNNNNNNNNNNNNNNNNNNNNNAGGGGACAACAGAGAAUAAAAAAUUUGCACGUAUAACAAGAUGUUGGAAGCAUAUGUCUAGCAUAUAUAUAACCCCCUAACUUAUGGGUAAUCCUGACCAGUUGCCUGCAAAGCACACUCUGUAUACCCCAAAAUAGCACGUCUACUACAUAAUAACUAGUGAAAUCCUUAAAGUGACAACUUUGAAAUAGGGGCUUCCCUGAAUGAGAGAACCUCCCCUGGAGGGCCAAAAUAGUCUCAACAACUGCUAUUUGAGCAGCAGGGAAGUCUGAAUUUCUAAGACAUGAAAUAAAAAUAUCUAUUGCCUCUUCUCGAUAUAUACUUGCUGUAAGCUGUUAUUGAACGUUUAUAAAAUAUAGGCCUAAAUGGAAUCAAGAAAAAGAAGAAGAAAGAAGUACCUGUUAAAUUUAACUAAUUCUGAAAGAAAUUGAACUAUCGGAAAACUCUCUCCAUCAUUUGCCCCCAAGAAGCUCUCUAAAGUUGGAGCCAAUUCAGCCUUAUCAGCAAUGAUGUUCCUGCAAUUGCCAUCCUCCUGCAUACAUCACAACAAGAUACCAACAGCUGCAAUCCUUUCAUCUUUCCACUCAGCUUCCAAGCUGGACACAAUAUUUCCAAUCACUUUUUCCGAAAUCAAACUACUCAUAACUCCAGAUAUUGUGCUUUCCUCGACACUUCAAAGAAUCUGACCGAGCAAAAUCACUGAAGCUAAUUUUGGCUUCAUACACAUAUCAACAAAAUCAUCUUCUUUCUUUCUUAGUAUAGUUAAGAGGGAAUUCACCACAUCCAUAUCGAUAAGGCUCAUAGCAGCAGGUCUUAACAGAUAAACCAAUACAACAGUUUCUAGCAACCCCUUUUUAAAGAGUGCACACACUAAUAAACUAUGGUAAAAAGUACCAAGUAAAUAAUACUCAUUACAUUGAAAUGAUCGUUUGAGAUUAAUUUCUUUGGCCCAUCAUAUAACAAAAAAGGUACGAGUAGAUAGAGAGUUAAUGUUUCAAUUACCCAGUCAAGAAGGUAAAUAAAUUCUUCUGUUGGCCUAUAGUUUGUGUUGCUUUUACCGCUAACAAUUUCCAAUGCAACAAAUCCAAAACUGUAAACAUUUGCUUUGUCAGUUAAAUAACCAUGCAUUGCAUACUCAGGAGCCAUAUAACCUCUGCAGCACCAUAGACCAAUUUGAAGUGUCAGUUUAAGAUGUUACUGUGUCUAUGCUUAUAAUAAAGAUAUCUAAAAUACAGAAGUGUCACAAACUUCUGUACAUUUACAUACAUAUAAAAAAGAUAUACAUAGGAAAACUUACAUAGUUCCCACAAUCUUUGUACUAAUAUGGGUAUUACCAUCCUUGUUAAGUUUUGCCAAGCCAAAAUCAGAUAUUUUAGCAUUUAGAUGCUUAUCAAGCAGCACAUUGCUAGUUUUAAUGUCUCUUUGUACAAUUUUCAAACUCGACUCUUCAUGGAGGUAGAACAACCUUCUGGCUAUGCCUAGGCAUAUUUUCCACCUCAUACGCCACUCUAGCUUCAAUCUAGAUGUUGUCUCUUUUCCUGUUAUAAAUCAAUAUAUGAAGCAUUAUUAAGUCUCUUGUGUCAACACUAUCAGAUUUUUCUAACAGUUGUGUAUAUUUGUGUACAGGAAAUACAAAGAUUACCAAAAAGUGCACGGGAGAGAAAAUUAUUUUCCAUGUACUCAUAUAUCAAUGAUAACUGGUUUCCCUCAACACAACAGCCAUACAACUUCACAAGAUUAGGAUGCUGCAAUGCAGAUAUCAUGCCUAUUUCAUUGACAAAUUCACAGGUUCCUCGUUUAGACUUUGAUGAAAGUUGUUUCACUGCAAUUAUUGUUCCGUCUGCUAAAAAACCCUACAAGGGGGAACAACAGAAAACCAACUUCUUAAUAAAAAACAUAUAUAUCAUUGGAAGAUUCGAUCAUUUAUUAUGCAAUCAAAUAUUGAAAAGAAGUAAUGAGAAACAACUAUUUUACUUGAGAACCAAAAGCCACUGUCCUGAGUUUAUUAUAAUGGUUUAAAUAUUUAGUCUCUUAAAGCUUUGGAUGACACCUAUCCUUGUAAUUUGCAUUAAAUUUCAGAAAGAAAGGUGAGAAAAACAAAUGAUGAGUCCUUCUACAGGACCUUUUCAAUUAAAGUACUAAGGGGAGAUAAAUAUCUUAUGUAAAACUAGUCUUUACCCCAUGAAUCAUGUUAAACCACAAAUGGUUAAAGAUCUUACUAAACUGAUAAACAAUACUUUAUAGUGACAACACAUUCUUGCAACCCAUAUUCUUGAUGAUACUUAGUUCUAUUAAUAGUAAAUGUUAACUUCGCAGGAAAAAAAUAUUACCUUGUAUACUGAACCAAAACCACCUUCCCCAAGCUUGUAUGCUGGAUCAAAGUUCUUGGUUGCAGCUUUAAUCUGUCUCAAUGUAAAUAGUCCAAUUUGUAGGUCUAGGCCUUUAAGCUCUGCACAAUAUGCGUAGCUAUGGAAAGUUAGUGUACCAUGUUUAGAUAACAUGAUAUGAACACAUUGUUGAAAUAACAAAAAUAACAUAAGAAAUUAAAAAAAUUUCAUGUUUACAAUUUGUUGCAACUUUUUAAAACUACUCCAAAGCUAACUAAAUUAAAACUUAAAACCAAUAUGAUGAACUUAGAAUAAAUAUUUUCUCAAGAGUUCUCGUUGAUUCCUUUAGAAAAAACAAGAUGCUAAUGAAAACUGCCAGUGAAAUCUUGAGAUGCUUUUUAUACCCAAAAGUAUAACACAUUUACAUGACAGAUAAAAAUUGAUCUCAGCUUAGUCCCUUCACUGAAAAUACCAACAUUGAACACAACAAUAUAUUUGGAUUUGAAGUAACAGAUUUAUUUAUAGAAAAUCAUACCUCCAUCUGCUGAAAUUUUGUGUCCCAGACAACCUUUCUUCCACAAAAUACAUAGAACAAGAAGGGCCAUAAACAAUGCUCCAGCAGCGACCCCAAGUACUACACUUGCAUUAUUCUUUUUACCAUUAACUUUUGGAGGUUUGAAGCCUGCAUAGAAAGAAGGAAAUAACUGCACAUUUAAAUUCUAGUGACCCAAGAAAACUGAUUAGAGUGAGGAGGUAACAAAUGAAACUGACUAGAUGAGAUCCAUAGGUAUAAAUCAAACUUUAUAAGCUCUCUCAUCAAAUGCAGGAUAAAGUGACCAUAUACAUGUCCUGGUCCAAAGGUUUUGGAUUUGGAGCUGUCCUUAGGUUGUGACACAAAUGAGAUAUCAACAAGCCUCUACACGUGCUUUGUGAAAAAGACAAAUGUGUGGACAAAUCAUAUUGGGUGAUGUAAAACAUCAAAGAAACUGUCUAAAUGGUCUUACUAUUAUUAUUUUAAAAAAUAUUUUUUUUUGGGUGAGGGGAGGGGAAACAGACUACCAUACUGAAAUUGUAUGCUACUGAAAUAGGAUGCAAGAGUUGGAGAAUAAACAAGUACUCAAUCCGGAGGACUGCCAUUUCAGACUCCUUCAGUAUUUUUGACAUACAAAGGUUCUUGAUUGCAAGUCACAGCUCGCCAACAGUGCAAUCCAUAGUAACUUGCCAUAUGACACUGUCAGGGGAAGCCAAAGGCAUGCCAGAGCUGAAAUUUGGUUCACUUUCUUGGUAUUGAUUCUCUGACUAGAUUAGAUCUAAACUGGGAUUAUGUUCUCUCCAGCUUGCAAUCAAACGUUUGAGUACAUAAUUUGUCUUAGGCAGUUGAGUGCCAUUUAGCUUUUGCCGUUCAUAAGUCUGUCCUAUCUCAAGAGUCACUGGAUCAUCAAAUAUAUUAC